AUGGCUUGGUGUUCGCGGUUGGAUGGGAGUAGUAAGUGGCGGCGCCACAGAAGAGAAGGAGGGCAGUGUAGCCCAGGUAUUUACGGGUUUCAACAUCGAUGUUGGGUUCCGGUAAAGAUGAGAAUCGACGGAGAAAUGGAUUUGGAGGUAGUAUUUGGAGAAGUUGAGAAUGUGAAUAAGUUGAAGAGUGGUAGUGGUGAUGGUGGAUGCAAAGGGAAUGUUUGA
Non-coding RNA from Vicia faba (fava bean), 225 nucleotides. The record is from the annotation of a GenBank genome assembly. Lineage: Eukaryota; Viridiplantae; Streptophyta; Magnoliopsida; Fabales; Fabaceae.